AGUAAGUUUUGGGGCAAAACCCAAUAGAGUCUCAGACGGUGCAUUUACAUACAAGACAUAUUUGUAAUGCCCUUGCUGAGAUUCCAUUGGUACCACGUUCCACAUUCAU
This 109-nucleotide microRNA precursor is filed under the name Caenorhabditis sp. 23 AD-2012. RNAcentral's name for it is "mir-786". The record is from RNAcentral. Lineage: Eukaryota; Metazoa; Nematoda; Chromadorea; Rhabditida; Rhabditidae.